AUGAGGAUCCAAGGGAAAGGGGGCCCAAUUUGGGAAAAGGCCUGGAAAGGAUCACUCGACGUCGGCAGGAACAAGUUUCAGAUGGACCUAGAGGCGGUGCCAGUUAGGAAGGCUUGCACAAAAAUGCUGAAACGCGCAACUCGCCAACAACGAUACAUGUUCAACAAAGAGUAUUUUGAUCCUCACGCAUCCAAUUUGGGGUCAUCUCAAAUUAACAAAGCUAAUCGAGCUCAAGUUAAGUUCCACCAAACUACUCGAUCGCGCAGCUACCCUGUACACUGUGGAAAUGUGGGAGACAACUACAAGGAUAAAGAACUAACUGUAGUGGAUUUGUUCAAGGAGUGCCACUACAGCAAGAAAAAGAAAUGUUACACCAAUGUUGUGCUGAAUGCAAUUGUAAGUCAGCUUUAA
This 411-nucleotide ribosomal RNA is filed under the name Triticum aestivum (bread wheat). RNAcentral's name for it is "partial small subunit ribosomal RNA". Lineage: Eukaryota; Viridiplantae; Streptophyta; Magnoliopsida; Poales; Poaceae. The record is from RNAcentral.